RNAcentral lists this signal recognition particle RNA (312 nucleotides) under Methanobacteriota archaeon. RNAcentral's name for it is "Euryarchaeota archaeon (soil metagenome) signal recognition particle sRNA". It matches the Rfam family "Archaeal signal recognition particle RNA". Lineage: Archaea; Methanobacteriati; Methanobacteriota. The record is from RNAcentral.
GGCGGCACUAGACCGGGGGGUCAGGCCUCCCCUCUACCUCAAAUGGUCUUCAUGGAGGGGUCGAAAUCCCAAGGCGGCGUCCUGCUUGCCUGUGGGGCCAACAGCCAGACGAUGAAGUCUCGUCCCGCGGGGCCGGAGGUGGAUGAGGAUGUCUUCCGGAGGGAAGGCGUCCCGCCUUGGCCGUGGAAACCGGGUCAGGCACGGAAGUGAGCAGCCUCACUGCGGACUACCGGAGCUUGCGGGGUCGCGGGACCGAGGAUGCUGUUGAUCACCUCACGGGCGUGGCAAUCGCUCACUUGGGGGCGUGUCGCC